Vigna unguiculata (cowpea) is the source of this 609-nucleotide long non-coding RNA. RefSeq lists it as uncharacterized. NCBI's taxonomy places the organism in Eukaryota, Viridiplantae, Streptophyta, Magnoliopsida, Fabales, Fabaceae. The record is from RefSeq and is a predicted model, not a curated record.
UUAGAAUUUUUGUGUCUUUCUUAAGAUUUCAACUCUAUUUUUUAUCUUUUUUAAGAUUCAAGCACACCAGUCAGAUCUUAGCCUCAAGGACAAAGUAUCUAACAGAUCAAUCUUUCAAAUAGAAACAUUUGUGAGACACAGAGCUUAGAAGCAACCUUAAAUCAAGAGCCCUAAAAAGGUUUGUGACGUGAAACUGAAGUUUACGAAGUUGAAAUUAAGGACACAUUUCUAUUCACUUUCUUUGAAAUCAUUGAGAGGAAAAGGAAGAGUGACCUAUUUGAUGAGGUGUAAAUUUGACAGUAACAAGUGAGAAACACAUGGCAUGCGACAAUGAAAGCAAUUCGAAGGGAUCACUUGUUUGUUACCUUACGAUUGGUCCAAUCUACGACUAAUCUUAAACACAAGUACAAACCGAGUUUUCGGUCUCAUUGUCCAAUUCAUCCAUUUAACCAAUGCAUCUCCAUUAUGUACUCCCGAUUCCACCUUUCACCCUCCAAGCAAAAAACUUUGCCUUCUAUCAAUUUCUCCCCUCCCUUCAUUAGGGUUGCUCCUAAGUUCAAUAAAGUUUCAAACUUUUUCACUUCAAUUAAAUCUCAUUUUAAUUUAUAA